CGGGUGAGUAACACGUAGGUAAUCUACCUUCGGGUGGGGAAUAACGCAGGGAAACUUGCGCUAAUACCGCAUAAUGCAGCGGCACCACAUGGUGACAGUUGUUAAAGCGGGGGAUUUUCGAACCUCGCGCCUGAAGAGGAGCCUGCGGCAGAUUAGCUAGUUGGUAAGGUAACGGCUUACCAAGGCGACGAUCUGUAGCCGGCCUGAGAGGGCGGUCGGCCACACUGACACUGACAUACGGGUCAGACUCCUACGGGAGGCAGCAGUCGGGAAUUUUGGGCAAUGGGCGAAAGCCUGACCCAGCAACGCCGCGUGAAGGAUGAAAUCCCUCGGGAUGUAAACUUCGCAAGAAUAGGAAGAAUGAACGAGUACUAAUACUGCUCGUGAUGACGGUACUAUUUGUAAGCUCCGGCUAACUCCGUGCCAGCAGCCGCGGUAAUACGGGGGGAGCAAGCGUUGUUCGGAUUUACUGGGCGUAAAGGGCGCGUAGGCGGCCAGCACAAGUCAGUUGUGAAAUCUCCGGGCUUAACUCGGAACGGUCAACUGAUACUGUGCGGCUAGAGUGCAGAAGGGGCAACUGGAAUUCUCGGUGUAGCGGUGAAAUGCGUAGAUAUCGAGAGGAAC
RNAcentral lists this ribosomal RNA (624 nucleotides) under uncultured bacterium. Its description in RNAcentral is "bacterial SSU rRNA". It matches the Rfam family "Bacterial small subunit ribosomal RNA", at positions 103 to 707 of the family's 1533-position model. The record is from RNAcentral.